UUUAUCGAUCUGGGGCGCCAUUGGGCUGAGAAGUACCCAUCGAACCUGCUCUGGUUAGGACCAGCGAAGGGAGAUCACAUCACUAGCCA
RNAcentral lists this non-coding RNA (89 nucleotides) under Limosilactobacillus equigenerosi. Its description in RNAcentral is "Lactobacillus equigenerosi TPP sequence". It matches the Rfam family "TPP riboswitch aptamer (THI element)". From Rfam's summary of the family: Vitamin B(1) in its active form thiamin pyrophosphate (TPP) is an essential coenzyme that is synthesised by coupling of pyrimidine and thiazole moieties in bacteria. The previously detected thiamin-regulatory element, thi box was extended, resulting in a new, highly conserved RNA secondary structure, the THI element, which is widely distributed in eubacteria and also occurs in some archaea. RNAcentral also lists the same sequence under 1 other name. Lineage: Bacteria; Bacillati; Bacillota; Bacilli; Lactobacillales; Lactobacillaceae. The record is from RNAcentral.